This 64-nucleotide transfer RNA is filed under the name Apocheima cinerarius. RNAcentral describes it as "tRNA-Arg". The record is from RNAcentral. Lineage: Eukaryota; Metazoa; Arthropoda; Insecta; Lepidoptera; Geometridae.
AAUAAAUAAGAAGCAAUUUGCAUUUAAUUUCGACUUAAAAGAGAGAGUAAAUAUUACUCCUUAU